GCUUACACAUGCAGUCGAACGGCAGCACGGACUUCGGUCUGGUGGCGAGUGGCGAACGGGUGAGUAAUGUAUCGGAACGUGCCCAGUAGCGGGGGAUAACUACGCGAAAGCGUAGCUAAUACCGCAUACGCCCUACGGGGGAAAGCAGGGGAUCGCAAGACCUUGCACUAUUGGAGCGGCCGAUAUCGGAUUAGCUAGUUGGUGGGGUAACGGCUCACCAAGGCGACGAUCCGUAGCUGGUUUGAGAGGACGACCAGCCACACUGGGACUGAGACACGGCCCAGACUCCUACGGGAGGCAGCAGUGGGGAAUUUUGGACAAUGGGGGAAACCCUGAUCCAGCCAUCCCGCGUGUGCGAUGAAGGCCUUCGGGUUGUAAAGCACUUUUGGCAGGAAAGAAACGUCGUGGGUUAAUACCCCGCGAAACUGACGGUACCUGCAGAAUAAGCACCGGCUAACUACGUGCCAGCAGCCGCGGUAAUACGUAGGGUGCAAGCGUUAAUCGGAAUUACUGGGCGUAAAGCGUGCGCAGGCGGUUCGGAAAGAAAGAUGUGAAAUCCCAGAGCUUAACUUUGGAACUGCAUUUUUAACUACCGAGCUAGAGUGUGUCAGAGGGAGGUGGAAUUCCGCGUGUAGCAGUGAAAUGCGUAGAUAUGCGGAGGAACACCGAUGGCGAAGGCAGCCUCCUGGGAUAACACUGACGCUCAUGCACGAAAGCGUGGNGAGCAAACAGGAUUAGAUACCCUGGUAGUCCACACCCCUAAACGAUGUCAACUAGCUGUUGGGGCCUUCGGGCCUUGGUAGCGCAGCUAACGCGUGAAGUUGACCGCUUGGGGAGUAC
Molecule: ribosomal RNA, 840 nt
Filed under: bacterium enrichment culture clone aHCH4_C5
Lineage: Bacteria
Description: bacterial SSU rRNA
Rfam family: Bacterial small subunit ribosomal RNA
Source: RNAcentral